This 346-nucleotide unclassified non-coding RNA is filed under the name soil metagenome. RNAcentral describes it as "partial contains 5.8S ribosomal RNA, internal transcribed spacer 2, and large subunit ribosomal RNA". The stretch from base 1 to 121 matches the Rfam family "5.8S ribosomal RNA", at positions 35 to 154 of the family's 154-position model. The record is from RNAcentral.
GAUGAAGAACGUAGCGAAAUGCGAUACGUAAUGUGAAUUGCAGAAUUCAGUGAAUCAUCGAGUCUUUGAACGCACAUUGCGCCCCCUGGUAUUCCGGGGGGGCAUGCCUGUCCGAGCGUCAUUGCUGCCCUCAAGCACGGCUUGUGUGUUGGGCCUCCGUCCUCCUCCCGGGGGACGGGCCCGAAAGGCAGCGGCGGCACCGCGUCCGGUCCUCGAGCGUAUGGGGCUUCGUCACCCGCUCUUGUAGGCCCGGUCGGCGCUUGCCGACACAUCAAUCUUUUUUCCAGGUUGACCUCGGAUCAGGUAGGGAUACCCGCUGAACUUAAGCAUAUCAAUAAGCGGAGGA